Molecule: long non-coding RNA, 1814 nt
Organism: Balaenoptera musculus (blue whale)
Lineage: Eukaryota; Metazoa; Chordata; Mammalia; Artiodactyla; Balaenopteridae
Exons: 3
Source: RefSeq, a predicted model, not a curated record
CAGCCAGAGCCUUUCCUUGGGGCCACUGAUCACCCUUUAUUGGCAGAAGCCCAUCCUCUAGUCUGGGUUGGUGAGGGCAUGGAUUUCAGAUCUGGAAAGUGAUGGAGGACGACUGAAACUUAAACUUCUUCUCCUCUAACAUGACAUUUUAGUGUCAUAUUUAGAGCCUUUUAGAAGAGAAAAACCGUACUUGUUUUUAUUAUGAUUAACUGGGGUCAGUGAGGUAAAGGCCUUUCCUUACUAUGACACCCAUUUUUUUCAGCCUGCUGGGUGAGGCCCCUGCCUCCUCUUCAACUGCCCAUGACUCCAAUUCCAGGAUGGGUUUCCAGCCUCUCUGACAAUAGGGAAUGUUGCUGGCUGCAAGACGCUGUCUCUACGGGGGCUUAGCAGGCUGGCCCGCUGUCAUGGACAGUGUAGUCCAGGGAAGGCCAGGCUGGCCAGGGUUCCUACCCUAACAGGAGAACCAAACUGAGAUCUUGAUUGCAGGCCCAUCCAGACCCUGACCUCUCCCAGGCUCCCAGGCUGGGCCCUCCCCAUGCCCCAUGGCUCUGUCCUGGGGCCAGGGCAGGUCUCACACUUGAGUCCUGGGAGCAGUGAGGCUGGGAAGGUGCCUCAGGGGGAUAUCAGCCCCACCCUCCUCCCUGCCCUCCUCUGCUGCCUGCCCCCUACAACUGGGCCUUUCUCUCUCUGGCUCCCCUCUCCCUUAGCUCAGUGUCUUUUGGGGACCUCUGGGUUCUCUCACUUCUCCCCCAGGCCCAGCCUGUCCUGCACCCCCUCCUCUCCUGCCUGUCGGGACCAUUCCUGUUCUGCUCCUCUUUCCUGGAGCCCUUCCAAGGGGUCUUGGACCCAACCUUUGACCUCAGACAAGGCCCGUAGGCAGGGCUGGGACAUUAGAGUCUAGCAGCCUUGGCCACCAUCAAGGCCAGGCCUAUCUGCUCAUCAACAGGUCCUGUCCUUCCCCUCUUCACGCUGGCUGGCCUGAGGGGGUGCCUGGAAGAGAGGGGGCUCUCAACUCAUGUCAACCUGGGGGGAGGUACUCCCCCACCCCAGGGCCUGGCUCCUUCUGCCAAGAACAUGUGCCUUCAGGACACAGGCCCGCCCAGGCCCCUCACCCUGCGGGGUCUCCCCAGCCUGAGUGAGUUAGCAUUGUGCUUGAGGCCACCAGGGAGACCAGGGCAGCCAGCGCAGAUGAUGCAGGGCAGGAGCGUGGUGGCCUUGACACAGCUGGGGGGAGGGACGAGGGAUGGGCACCUCGGGUGGAAAGGGGGGCCAGCUUGGCCAGGGGGUGUGCUCGUGCCCAGACUCCCUGGACAUGCUCUUCCCUCUCAGGGUCACAGGCUUUGCUCAGCCCAGCCCCACAGAGCGGGCAGCUGGGGCCAGGGAUAGGGGUCGUAUCCUUUGGCCUUGGGUAGAACAAGACGCAGAGCCAAGGGGCUGUGGGGGACUUGGAAGGAAGGACAGCCCAGCUGCCCCAGGAAGCAGACUUCCCUGAAGGAGCCCCAGAAGGCCCAGUCCCCCCACCUCGACCAGCAGCCACACAGGUCUGGCUCCUCCUGAGACACUAUCACUGAAGUAGGUCUUGCGGCUGACCCCACUGCCUGGGGGGUUUGGAGGAGUAAGUGCUCUUUCUCCCCUGUGGGAUGACAUAAACUGGGUUGCUUCACCGGCCUUCUCCACCCCCAGGAUGCUCCUGGAUUGUCCCAUGACUGGGUGAACCGGCACACUGGCCCAGGCCCACCCAGGCACCUUGGAGGAAGGUCUCCGACGUGAGUGGGAAUACCCUUGCUUCCAGGGUUCACACAGAUCACUCCCAG